UGAAACGAACUAGCCAACAGUUCCACGCCGACUAUGGUAGAAGACGAGCCAUCGUCUUAGGCGCUUUACAGAUUCAUCCAAUUGGACUGUGUUUAUGGGAAAUUUUUCGACGGAGGGAUGGAUGAUUGAGAUGACACUGAUUUUCGUGACAAUUUCAUUUUUCAUUGGAUGAAAUUCGAGGGGGAAGAGAUCCUUUGAGAUACCGAAAGGUCGUUCAGGGUGCUUGGUAAUCCAGGGAGGAACACGAGGACGCGUGUGCUGAUCGCACACACAAGGACGGAUCUUUCUUCGACAUGGGGUCGCGUGCACACGUGCAACGAGAACUCGUGCAACUGGCUGCACGGAGGGUUGCCUCGAGGUAUGCGGGGGCAGCCACCCCGGCAACGAUCCAUACGCCUGUCGCUGGAACGACAUCUCAUGGCGUCUGCGUCGAACUCCAUCGUGAACUUUCACCUCCGUUCUGCUGCUAUAUUUCACCCUAUUUCAACCAGGUUCGAUGAAACUACCAGGAGGUGUAACUGGGUCAUUCAGUUGUCUGUACUGCUUAUGGAAUGUUGAAGUCAAGAAUGAUUGAAGAAUGUUUACCAGGAUUUAAUGAUACUUUGUUCAUUUUUAUUCUCCUUGUCAGUGAAGCGUUG
This is a long non-coding RNA of Osmia bicornis bicornis, 638 nucleotides long. RefSeq lists it as uncharacterized. Lineage: Eukaryota; Metazoa; Arthropoda; Insecta; Hymenoptera; Megachilidae. The transcript is spliced from 3 exons. The record is from RefSeq and is a predicted model, not a curated record.